AUCAUGCCAUUCGGAGCCUUCUGCUACCUGACUAUGACAUUCGGCUUGAGAAAUGCCGGUGCCACUUUUCAGCGUUGCAUGCAGAAGUGCCUCCUCAAGCAACUCGGCAGAAAUGCCCACGUCUACGUAGACGACAUUGUGGUGAAGACAGAGAAGCGCGGCACCUUGCUGGAAGACCUCAAGGAAACAUUUGAGAACCUACGCCGGUUCCAAAUCAAGCUUAACCCCGAGAAAUGCGUGUUCGGAGUGCUAGCCGCCCAGCUCCUAGGCUUCCUGGUCUCCGAACGCGGCAUCGAAUGCAACCCAGUAAAGAUUAAGGCCAUUGAGAGAAUGGCGAUUCCCACCAAACUUCGAGACGUCCAGAAGUUU
Molecule: ribosomal RNA, 369 nt
Filed under: Triticum aestivum (bread wheat)
Lineage: Eukaryota; Viridiplantae; Streptophyta; Magnoliopsida; Poales; Poaceae
Description: partial small subunit ribosomal RNA
Source: RNAcentral